Molecule: long non-coding RNA, 175 nt
Organism: Aricia agestis (brown argus)
Lineage: Eukaryota; Metazoa; Arthropoda; Insecta; Lepidoptera; Lycaenidae
Exons: 3
Source: RefSeq, a predicted model, not a curated record
AACUACCUAACCUAAGGGUCCGUAUACGAAAUUUUGUCGAUUUCGCUGAUUUAUCAGCGCAGACGUGAUUUAACAGUUAAAAUACAGUAUUUCUAUAAGUUUUAAUGCACAACAUGUAAGAUCAUUUCAAUUAUAAUCUAAUGUUGGAGCUAGUUUUUUUUUAAAGUAUUUUUAA